AGUGAACGCUGGCGGUAGGCCUAACACAUGCAAGUCGAACGGCAGCACAGUAAGAGCUUGCUCUUACGGGUGGCGAGUGGCGGACGGUUGAGGAAUACAUCGGAAUCUACUUUUUCGUGGGGGAUAACGUAGGGAAACUUACGCUAAUACCGCAUACGACCUACGGGUGAAAGCAUGGGAUCUUCGGACCUUGCGCGAUUGAAUGAGCCGAUGUCGGAUUAGCUAGUUGGCGGGGUAAAGGCCCACCAAGGCGACGAUCCGUAGCUGGUCUGAGAGGAUGAUCAGCCACACUGGAACUGAGACACGGUCCAGACUCCUACGGGAGGCAGGAGUGGGGAAUAUUGGACAAUGGGCGCAAGCCUGAUCCAGCCAUACCGCGUGGGUGAAGAAGGCCUUCGGGUUGUAAAGCCCUUUUGUUGGGAAAGAAAAGCAGCAGGUUAAUACCCUGCUGUUCUGACGGUACCCAAAGAAUAAGCACCGGCUAACUUCGUG
This 492-nucleotide ribosomal RNA is filed under the name uncultured bacterium. RNAcentral's name for it is "partial 16S ribosomal RNA". It matches the Rfam family "Bacterial small subunit ribosomal RNA", at positions 29 to 507 of the family's 1533-position model. The record is from RNAcentral.